AAUCUAACUACACGUUGUAGAACUUCUUCCUUUCAAGGUGGCUUUGCAACUUAUUAGGUAACAAAUUGAAUUCCACCGAGCCAGGCCUUGCUUACCGGUGCAGUGAGGCUCUUGUUGAGGAGCACGGUGGCUUUCCAGAAGAACAAAGGGAUAUGAAGCAGCUGAUACCAGUUGUAAUUUAAAGCCUUGGGUUUAGAAGAAAAACUUUACAUUUGAGCCUAAGAAAUUCAAAUUCAUCUGUUCUCCAGAAACGAAAUGUGAGAACUAUGAGAAUUCCUGAUCCUCCCAACAAAAGCACCUCACGAUUACACUAAAUUGCUCUCAACAACUGUGAGCCGCUCCUUGGUCUUAUGCUUCCCUCAGAUUAAAAUACUUUAGGGCUGAAGGGUUCAUUUUUUGUUUCUUGGAGACACAGGAUUUCUGUUCAUUUCCAGAAGCAGGAGGGACAGCACAGCACUACCCAGGGCUGCAGGAACUCCUCACAACCCCGCCAUGACACCUCGCUCACCAUGCUGUAUGUGAUGGCUGAAACGCGAGAAGCCUUCACAGCCCUCACUCACAAAUCUGAACGAAACCCAAAACGUGAUCUGGAUUCUCCUGUUCUCGGGGGAUGUCUGAGAACCCCAAACCAACACACAUAAAAAACCUCUUGUGAAACCUAGCAAGUGGGAGUACCAGGCCUUCUCAUAGCUGUACAGCAGCAAGCACAUCAACCUUAACCGUAUCUGAGGAACAAGCGUUUCACACGCCUCAGCAGCGAUCUAGUUAAAAGAUACAGCACCAUUUUCUCAGAACCCCAUCUCGGUGUCAGCAGACACAGCCUCCUCGGAACGCUUCCUUCCUUCCUGGCGGUGCAGGUGCAAUACCGCGGCUCCGCAGCAGCACCGCGCCGUUCCCGCAGGCAGGCACACGGCAGGAAAAGGGCGGGCAAGGACGACCCUCGGACCCGGCUUUCCCUCAGGGCUCCCUUCGAGCUCCCACAGCUCCGCUCUCCAUGAGCGCAAAACGUUUCGCUACAAAAAGUACACCUGUGUCCUUCCACUCACUCAGCAGAAAGCGUAAGUGCGAUACGACGCAGCCGCUCCACAAAAAGCCACCCCAUACCCCAACCACCCACGCGCACACCCACAGCAAUCCCGCCCACGAUUCCCACAGCACGCACGCACGCGCCCCAGCCUUCCCCCGAGCUCACAGGCUCCUAGCGCACGCGCAGACGCACGGCCGCGUCCCAUUGGCCGGUUAGUCACGCACGCUGAGCGGCUGCUCUCUCGGGCCUACGGGUUGCGGCCGCCGCGCAUGCGCAAUCGGCGCCUGCCGGCCCGGCCGCGAGGAGCAGGCGCAAUGCCCCCUCCCGGCAAGCUGGCCGGCCGCCGCGCAUGCGCAGUCGAGACCCUUUCGGGAACGUUCCGUGCCGCCUGUCUCGCUCCAGCCUUCCUCUGCAAGGGAAAUCCUGUCAGGAUGUUCGGAGCUUCUAGUUGAGACGAGUUCUGGCUGUAGGAGCACGAGGGCUGAGCAGACUGCUCCGGGUCUGCCUGGAAGAUCUUCACCCUUGCAGCGCUGCUGCGAGAGUUAGAAACCUGCUGCCUCUCCUCUCUGGUUCUCUUGGUCUCCUGGAGAGGAGAGUGCGCACUUUCACCGCUGUCUCCUGCUCUGCCUGCUCCUGCUUUCAGCAUGGUAAAGAAGAACACUAUCCCCGAGGGAGAGGAACAUCUGCUGUAGAGUAAUUGCUUGUAAAGAUAGUGUUACCGUCUGACAAAGCUCAUGAUACUGAAGUGUUCCCAGCUUGUUGGAAGAACAUAACUAAAGUUGCCUGUACGUAAGGGCUGUGCUACAGCACUGUGCAACCUUGGUGGAAUCAGAACUAUGAGCGUACUCAGCACCUGAAAAAGUAUUAAUAGCUGAUGUUGCCAGUGGGUCUGCAGUACGUCUCAUACCUUGUUCUUGCAUACGUGUUGCUUUCCCCUAGCCCUGAAUGCUUGAUGGUAUGCUUUUUGCACAGCCUUUCCUCCAGCAAAGAGGAGAGGAAGUAGCCUGGAAGUACAAUUUUCCAUAUUCCUUCAUAGCAAAAAUCAUUUCUCCCUUUUCGCAGUAAAGUC
Molecule: long non-coding RNA, 2096 nt
Filed under: Gallus gallus (chicken)
Lineage: Eukaryota; Metazoa; Chordata; Aves; Galliformes; Phasianidae
Description: long non-coding RNA NONGGAT008187
Source: RNAcentral